AACAGUUUAAUGUAUCGAGAAGAAAAAACUGGCCUUCGGCCAUUCGGAGAAAAAAGGAGAAGAGAAAAACUCAGUGGUAUCAAACCCAAGAUACAUGGAAGGUGAUACACUACUGAUUUUUACUGCGAAUAAUUAACGUUGAAAAAUUGAUGUCGAAAUGGACUGUGUGAAUAGAGAAACCAAGUCAAAUUUUGGACAAGCUUAAUUUGAAUUAGCUUAGAGUUAAACUAUUGGCACUGUUUUCAUUUGAAAAUUUAUGAAUUUCAUUCUGUUCAAUAGGGGCACGUUUCCUGACUGCCACGCGAUCCAAACCACUUCGCGUCACGGGUGUCACGCAGUACACGUCACUCUUAUGAUUUAUACAUAUUAUAUACAUACAUACUACUAUGCAUAUUAUUAUAGAGUAAGAUAAAAAAGACCAUUUUAAUUCCACAGGAAAUCAAGGCUGAUAAGGAGCUAAAAAGUCUAGACAGCGCUUUGGAAAUGCUGCCAGGUAGCUGUAACAAAUUGUACGUCCAGAGAGCGUUUCUUGCCCUUGUUCAAACCAUGGUUCUUCUAAGGAGUUUCAAUUGUGAAACUUUACACAGAGAUACUUUAACUCUGAUGGAAAUAGGAUGCACAUGUGAGCUGAAAAUGAGUGAACUCAAGAAAAUGGCUGAAAAAACUGUUCUGCUCAUCAAGUCCGACUCUAAGACAUACAAAGAUAUGCUGAAGGAUCCUCUAAUAUCAAAGACAAUAAACGACGAGGCGCUCUUUUCUUGGCACACAUACUAGAUCAUCAAUGAUGAAAGUACUUAAAAUUGAUUUUUACUGAUAGUGUCUUCUACAGCGUGCGGCUAUAGGAUUUUGAUUAAUUAAUGGAAUUAGAUAACAACGGUGAAACUACCAGACCUCGUAUCUCGGUUUGCGACGUUGCAGGCUUUCGAUCUCACUUUACUUUUUAAUGGAACGUCAAUUCAACGUCCAUUUUUGAAAACCUCUGUGAUUUUUCCUCUCUAUGCGAUAAAAACUCUGAAGAAACUUCAAGGAAUGACAUUGAUUUGUUCUCUUUCAGAAUAAUGAAAUGGGAGCGAAGUUUUUUAAACACCACCCACGGCAUAUUUGACCUGGAAGUUUUACCGUCGAAAAGCUAAUUUAUCAUUUUAGCCGCCAACCGAAAAUGGACCUCAGUCCUUAUAAGUAAAAACCACAAGAAAUGGGCAACUAACGCUAGCGUUUCAGGGUUUCAACCAUCCUCAACCAGGAAAUAAAAAAUGUAUAAAUUGUAAAAUCAAUAACUUUUUAGACUCCUAUUCGUCUUCCAUUUCUGUUUCUUAGCUUUAGCUUUGUUGCCCCUUUUUUGUGUCUUUUUUAGUUGAAUUAUUUGGGCUAUUUUUGUGUAUUAUAUUAAUUGUCAUUGCUAACAUAAAAUAUUACUAAGUACUUAAAUUUAUUUUUAAUACUAUUCCUGAGACUCAUUUCUUCUCCUCUCAUUUCCUCUCAUUUCUUGCUUGAAACUUGCUCUAUUGAACAGGUCACAAAAUCGUAUUUUAAUGCUUGAUUCUUGUAGAUUAGCUAAACAUAAUAAGCUCUGUCCAGACAGCAACUCCCUGCGUUCAAUAUUAACCGAGAUAUCUCGCUUUGAAAAUUCGCUUUAUGACGUCAUCUACCGCAGCAAUGACACCGUUGAUUUCUCUCAUCUGUGUUUCAAGUUUAGUCCAGGCAAAUAAGCCAUGAAAGAACCUAUAGCCUGCAAAAAUCCCAGGUAUCCCCGGUAAGUCCAGAAAUUAUUCGUCAGACGAAUGGCGCCCGCCAGCGCGCUUAAUUUUGCCCUUAGGCAAAAAAUUCAUAGAAACUUUUUUAUAGGAAAUUUAACGAGCUUUAUUUCUGAAAAUUACUAAUUUUGUCGUCAGAUCAAUUUUUGGCAAGUUACAGGCCAUAAUCCGCAAAAAAUGCCGAUUUUAGGGCAUAAUCCGCAAAGAAUACCGAUUUUAGGCCAUUUUUGCCAAAUUUUGGCAACUUUCCGGUCCGAAUUUAAUGGCGCGAAGUUGAAAUUCGGAUUCAGCGUCAAAAAUUACAUAGAAAUUGAUGAAAACAUUGCUACCCGGGAUUUUUGCAGGCUAUAGCCCCUUUCAUGGCUUAUUUGCCUGGACUAUACGGCGCGGCUGGCAGCCGGCCAGCGGGAGACGCGCAC
This 2173-nucleotide long non-coding RNA is filed under the name Bemisia tabaci. RNAcentral describes it as "lncRNA ENSSSA3NGG011454". Lineage: Eukaryota; Metazoa; Arthropoda; Insecta; Hemiptera; Aleyrodidae. The record is from RNAcentral.